This 67-nucleotide microRNA precursor is filed under the name Lingula anatina. RNAcentral describes it as "Lan-Mir-277-P3_pre stem-loop". Lineage: Eukaryota; Metazoa; Brachiopoda; Lingulata; Lingulida; Lingulidae. The record is from RNAcentral.
AAUAUACCAGUAGUGCAUCCUACAUGUGACUGUUGCUAUGGUGUAAAUGCAUUAUCUGGUAUAUGAC